Molecule: non-coding RNA, 473 nt
Organism: Phyllostomus discolor (pale spear-nosed bat)
Lineage: Eukaryota; Metazoa; Chordata; Mammalia; Chiroptera; Phyllostomidae
Source: the annotation of a RefSeq genome assembly
GGGGAAAGGAGAGGUUUGGGGAUGCUCUGCUUCAGCUGUGGGGCCACAGAAGGCAGGACUCAGGGAUGGACUCCACCAUGGCCUGGUCCCCUCUCCUGCUCAGCCUCCUGGCUCACUGCACAGGGUCCUGGGCCCAGGCUGUGCUGACUCAGCCGCCCUCAGUGUCUGGGAACCCAGGACAGACCAUCAGCAUCUCCUGCACUGGAAGCAGCAUCAACAUUGGGAAUGGUUACUAUGUGGGCUGGUACCAACAGCUCCCAGGAAAACCCCCUAAAACCGUCAUCUAUGAUACUAGCAGUAGACCCUCGGGGAUCCCCGACCGCUUCUCUGGAUCCAGGUCUGGCAGCGUCGGCACCCUGACCAUCAGUGGGCUCCAGGCUGAGGACGAGGCCGACUAUUACUGCCAGUCCUAUGACAGCAGUGGCAGUGGGUGGGUGUUCAUUCCUUUAUUUAGAUUACCUGUUCUAUUUUGA